This 401-nucleotide ribosomal RNA is filed under the name uncultured bacterium. Its description in RNAcentral is "bacterial SSU rRNA". It matches the Rfam family "Bacterial small subunit ribosomal RNA", at positions 32 to 414 of the family's 1533-position model. The record is from RNAcentral.
AAUCAACGCUGGCGGCGUGCCUCAGACAUGCAAGUCGAACGCGAAAGUUUCCUUCGGGGAGCGAGUAGAGUGGCGCACGGGUGAGUAACACGUAGGUAAUCUACCUUCGGAUGGGGAAUAACAAUCGGAAACGGUUGCUAAUACCGCAUAAUGCAGCGGCACCUAAUGGUGACAGUUGUUAAAGCGGGGGAUCGUAAGACCUCGCGUCUGAAGAGGAGCCUGCGGCGGAUUAGCUUGUUGGUAAGGUAAUGGCUUACCAAGGCGACGAUCCGUAACGGCCUGAGAGGGCGUCGGUCACACUGACACUGACAUACGGGUCAGACUCCUACGGGAGGCAGCAGUCGGGAAUUUUGGGCAAUGGGCGAAAGCCUGACCCAGCAACGCCGCGUGAAGGAUGAAAU